Molecule: ribosomal RNA, 672 nt
Filed under: uncultured archaeon
Lineage: Archaea
Description: bacterial SSU rRNA
Rfam family: Archaeal small subunit ribosomal RNA
Source: RNAcentral
CGUGGCUAACCUGCCCUUGGGACAGAGACACCCCCGGGAAACUGGGGCUAAUCCCUGAUAGGCGAAGAACUCUGGAAUGAGUCUUCACUCAAAGGGCGUGUAGAUCAUGCUUCUACGCGUUGCCCAAGGAUGGGGCCGCGACCGAUCAGGUUGUUGGUGAGGUAAUGGCUCACCAAGCCUAUAACCGGUGCGGGCCGUGAGAGCGGGAGCCCGGAGAUGGGCACUGAGACAAAGGCCCAGGCCCUACGGGGCGCAGCAGUCGCGAAAACUUUGCAAUACACGAAAGUGUGACAGGGUCAUCCCGAGUGCCGUCCGCUGAGGAUGGCUUUUACUCAGUCUAGAAAGCUGAGAGAAUAAGGAGAGGGCAAGUCUGGUGUCAGCCGCCGCGGUAAUACCAGCUCUCCGAGUGGUGUGGAUGUUUAUUGGGCCUAAAGCAUCCGUAGCUGGCUGACCAAGUCCCCUGUUAAAUCCACCGAUUUAAUCGUUGGUCUGCGGGGGAUACUGAUCGGCUAGGGGACGAGAGAGGCCGACGGUAUUUCCGGGGUAGGGGUGAAAUCCUAUAAUCCCGGGAAGACCACCAGUGGCGAAGGCUGUCGGCUAGAACGCGCCCGACGGUGAGGGAUGAAAGCUGGGGGAGCGAACCGGAUUAGAUACCCGGGUAGUCCCAGCUGU